Long non-coding RNA from Mauremys mutica (yellowpond turtle), 243 nucleotides. RefSeq lists it as uncharacterized. The record is from RefSeq and is a predicted model, not a curated record. Lineage: Eukaryota; Metazoa; Chordata; Testudines; Geoemydidae. The transcript is spliced from 3 exons.
AUACUACUACUUCCUCAGAAUCAUGGAGAAGCUUCCAAAGAGGAGAUACCAUCAAGUGCUUGCUCUUCAUCUGAACAAUUCUCAACAUAAAAGGACUCAUGCAGCUUCCUUAUCUACUGGAAAAGGAUCCUUGCAAACAUGAUUUCUCUCUGUCGGUCUUCCCAGCCCCAAUAAGGCUAUUUUACCUGCAUACUAGAUGGGACAACAUGCAGAGCUGUGGCCCAGAAACAGCUUCACAUGGUG